RNAcentral lists this ribosomal RNA (533 nucleotides) under uncultured bacterium. RNAcentral describes it as "partial 16S ribosomal RNA". It matches the Rfam family "Bacterial small subunit ribosomal RNA", at positions 355 to 871 of the family's 1533-position model. The record is from RNAcentral.
UGGGGAAUAUUGCACAAUGGGCGCAAGCCUGAUGCAGCCAUGCCGCGUGUGUGAAGAAGGCCUUCGGGUCGUAAAGCACUCUCAGCGAGGAGGAAGGUGGUGAGCUUAAUACGCUCAUCAAUUGACGUUACUCGCAGAAGAAGCACCGGCUAACUCCGUGCCAGCAGCCGCGGUAAUACGGAGGGUGCAAGCGUUAAUCGGAAUUACUGGGCGUAAAGCGCACGCAGGCGGUUUGUUAAGUCAGAUGUGAAAUCCCCGGGCUCAACCUGGGAACUGCAUUUGAAAACUGGCAAGCUAGAGUCUCGUAGAGGGGGGUAGAAUUCCAGGUGUAGCGGUGAAAUGCGUAGAGAUCUGGAGGAAUACCGGUGGCGAAGGCGGCCCCCCUGGACGAAGACUGACGCUCAGGUGCGAAAAGGCGUGGGGGCAGCAAAACAGGAUUAGAUACCCUGGUAGUCCACGCUGUAAAACGAUGUCGAUUUUGGAGGUUGUGCCCUUGAGGCGUGGCUUCCGGAGCUAACGCGUUAAAUCGACCG